This 433-nucleotide ribosomal RNA is filed under the name uncultured bacterium. RNAcentral's name for it is "partial 16S ribosomal RNA". It matches the Rfam family "Bacterial small subunit ribosomal RNA", at positions 29 to 507 of the family's 1533-position model. The record is from RNAcentral.
AACGAACGCUGGCGGCAUGCCUAACACAUGCAAGUCGAACGAGACCUUCGGGUCUAGUGGCGCACGGGUGCGUAACGCGUGGGAACCUGCCCUUAGGUUCGGAAUAACUCCCCGAAAGGGGUGCUAAUACCGGAUAAUGUCUUCGGACUAAAGAUUUAUCGCCUUUGGAUGGGCCCGCGUUGGAUUAGCUAGUUGGUAGGGUAAAAGCCUACCAAGGCGACGAUCCAUAGCUGGUCUGAGAGGAUGAUCAGCCACACUGGGACUGAGACACGGCCCAGACUCCUACGGGAGGCAGUAGUGGGGAAUAUUGGACAAUGGGCGAAAGCCUGAUCCAGCAAUGCCGCGUGAGUGAUGAAGGCCUUAGGGUUGUAAAGCUCUUUUACCCGGGAUGAUAAUGACAGUACCGGGAGAAUAAGCUCCGGCUAACUCCGUG